RNA transcript from Glycine soja, 1882 nucleotides. It is a transcript of the gene named VQ motif-containing protein 19-like, with no coding region annotated. NCBI's taxonomy places the organism in Eukaryota, Viridiplantae, Streptophyta, Magnoliopsida, Fabales, Fabaceae. The record is from RefSeq and is a predicted model, not a curated record. The transcript has a single exon.
CAAGCACAAUAAGCAAAAGCAACCCUCUUUUCUUUCAUUCAACCCUCCUUUCUCCCCCCCCCCCCCCCCCCCUCCCAGCCUUGUUUUUCACUCUUCUAUAUUUCUUCUCCAAUCCCCACCCAAAUCACCCCUAACCCUUUUGACAGAUAUUAAUUUGUUGGUUUUGGAGCAAGGAGAGAGAGACAUGGAAAUCAGCUCAAGGCUUCAAGAGAGAGAGAACCACAGCCACAAUCACAACCACCACCACAACCAUAACCUCCCUUCUCCUAUGAACUCUCCAACAAGCAAUGUGAGCAACUGUAUGAGCAGCAGCAACAGCAAUGGCAUCCAAAUCCCAACACCACCCCUCACUCCCAAAACCAUUCCCAGAUCUGACUCCAACCCUUACCCUACCACUUUUGUCCAAGCUGACACCUCUACUUUCAAGCAAGUAGUCCAAAUGCUAACUGGCUCAUCAGACACCACAAAACAAGCAUCACAAGAUCCACCACCAUCAUCCAGAAACUUCAACAUACCCCCCAUCAAGACCCCACCAAAGAAGCAACAAGGCUUCAAGCUCUACGAGAGGAGGAACAACAGCCUCAAGAACAGCCUCAUGCUCAACACCUUGAUGCCCAAUUUUGCUCACAAUCACAACAACAACAACUCUCCAAGCUUCUCACCAAGAAAUAUGCCUGAGAUCCUCUCCCCAAGCCUUCUUGACUUCCCUUCCCUUGCUCUCAGCCCUGUCACACCAUUGAAUGAUAACCCUUUUGACAAGUCCUCUCCUUCAUUGGGGAACUCAUCAGAGGAGGAUAAAGCCAUAGCUGAAAAGGGCUUCUACUUGCAUCCCUCUCCCAUGACCACUCCAAGAGACUCAGAACCACAGCUCUUGCCUCUGUUCCCAGUUACCUCACCUAGAGUCUCAUCAGAAUCACCCUCUUGAGGAGAUUGGAGAAUAGAUUGUGUUCCUGUGUUGUGGAUGAUUUAGAUAGAGAGAGAAUGGUUGGUGGUUAAUUACAUCAUGGGUUUUUUUUUUUUAUUUGAAUGGUUUAUGGUUUCCUCCAUCAACAAGGUUCAAAAGCUUUGGUCUAAUUGCAAAAGUGGCUUUCUUAGCAUGAAAUGGCAACUCUUUUCUUUAUUCUCCUGCUUUGUUUUCCCACCUCAAAAUAUUGCUAUCUGUUCUUGUUUUCCCUUUCCAUAAAUGAAAAAAAAAGUGUCUUUGUCGAAUGAAUUUUAUUUUAUUUUUCUCUCCAUGUUCCAUCUAGUUUUUCAAGGGUUAUUCUUGUUAGGAAAAACACAUCUUGGGAAUUAUCAUGAGCCAGGGUGUCUCUUUUGAUUGAGUGUGAUGAUGAAUUCAAUGAAUAAGGGUCUUCUUCAAAGUGUCUGUUUGUGUUUGUGUGUGAUUGCCGUGUCACACCAACCACCACCAGUAAGAAGUUUGUGUUGAGACGAAGAGAAUCCAAAGAUGGUAAAUUGAACAAAGACAAGGGAAUGAGGUUGCUUGGAAGGGACACAUGUUACUGGAAAUCAGUGUUGGAAAGGACAUAACCGUAUCCUAAGUUGUCAUCAUCGCAGAAAGAUGCACCAAAAGGAAGGUGGGUGGGUUAACUUGAUGAAGAUUGAAGGGUGAGAGUGAGAGGGUCCCUCUUAUUGGUUAUAUGCCAAUUUAGUCUAAUCAGUUUCUCAAGUAACUCAAAUCCCAGAUAAUGAUAAUGCGCUUUUGCUUCUUUUUUUAAAAAAAUUUCUUUUUCUUUUUUCUUUUUUGGCUGACACCUAUCUGGGAAGAAAAAACCCAUUUCUGUAGCAGUUUUCAAGUACCUAUCUGAAUAAGAAGUAAAGCAAAGAUGACUUUUUCUUUCUUUGGUUUGUUUGUUUUAAAAUGCAGAACAUUUAUGCAUGA